GGAUUGUGGCUCAGUGGUAGAGUGCUCGCCUCAUUCAGGCGGGACCUGCAUUCGAUUCUCAGCACCA
Molecule: transfer RNA, 67 nt
Filed under: Marmota monax (woodchuck)
Lineage: Eukaryota; Metazoa; Chordata; Mammalia; Rodentia; Sciuridae
Description: tRNA.SeC
Source: RNAcentral